RNAcentral lists this ribosomal RNA (211 nucleotides) under uncultured bacterium. Its description in RNAcentral is "partial 16S ribosomal RNA". It matches the Rfam family "Bacterial small subunit ribosomal RNA", at positions 524 to 734 of the family's 1533-position model. The record is from RNAcentral.
UACGGAGGGUGCAAGCGUUAAUCGGAUUUACUGGGCGUAAAGCGCACGCAGGCGGUUUGUUAAGUCAGAUGUGAAAUCCCCGGGCUCAACCUGGGAAGGUCAUCGGAUACUGGGGAGCUUGAGUCUCGUAGAGGGGAGUAGAAUUCCAGGUGUAGCGGUGAAAUGCGUAGAUAUCUGGAGGAAUACCAGUGGCGAAGGCGACCCUCUGGAC